Non-coding RNA from Maylandia zebra (zebra mbuna), 342 nucleotides. NCBI's taxonomy places the organism in Eukaryota, Metazoa, Chordata, Actinopteri, Cichliformes, Cichlidae. The record is from RefSeq and is a predicted model, not a curated record.
AGAACAGCCAAUGACUUAAAACAUUUAAGUGCAUAUAUCUUGCCACAAGACAUGUGCGCUAAGCUAGCCAAAUGAGUUUCUGUUAGCGAAUCAAGUUCAAGCUCCUCACAUAUCAUCAUCCAGGGUACAGUCAUAUGCUCAUGAGGAGAUCCCACGCAGGUGAAGGUGCUGCCCACCCAUGAUACCAGCAAGGUGCGUGCAAGUGGAUCCGGCCUUAACACCACUGGAGCGCCCACCUCUCUGCCAGUGAAGGUCACCAUUGAUGCCAAAGAUGCAGGACCCAGAGGGGAAGCCCAAGAAGCAGAUAUCUGUGACAGCCAUGAUGGGACCUACCUGGUGUUU